AAGCGGGAAGCAAAUAUUGCAAUCAGUUUCGACCUGAUAGUUAGAUAAUCUUCAAUUAUCCCCGCUUU
RNAcentral lists this transfer RNA (68 nucleotides) under Subulitermes group sp. A TB-2017. Its description in RNAcentral is "tRNA-Arg". The record is from RNAcentral. Lineage: Eukaryota; Metazoa; Arthropoda; Insecta; Blattodea; Termitidae.